CUUGGUCAUUUAGAGGAAGUAAAAG
This 25-nucleotide ribosomal RNA is filed under the name Russulaceae sp. A.Becerra 13. Its description in RNAcentral is "partial 18S ribosomal RNA". The record is from RNAcentral. Lineage: Eukaryota; Fungi; Basidiomycota; Agaricomycetes; Russulales; Russulaceae. RNAcentral also lists the same sequence under 1 other name.